GAUUGAACGCUGGCGGUAUGCUUAACACAUGCAAGUCGAACGGAAACGAUACUAGCUUGCUAGUAGGCGUCGAGUGGCGGACGGGUGAGUAACGCGUAGGAAUCUGCCUGAUAGUGGGGGAUAGCCCGAAGAAAUUCGGAUUAAUACCGCAUAAUCUAUUCGUAGUAAAGUGGGGGACUUUCGAGCCUCACGCUAUCAGAUGAGCCUGCGUAAGAUUAGCUUGUUGGUAGGGUAAAAGCCUACCAAGGCGACGAUCUUUAGCUGGUCUGAGAGGAUGAUCAGCCACAUCGGGACUGAGACACGGCCCGAACUCCUACGGGAGGCAGCAGUGGGGAAUAUUGGACAAUGGGGGCAACCCUGAUCCAGCAAUACCGCGUGUGUGAAGAAGGCCUGAGGGUUGUAAAGCACUUUCAAUUGUGAAGAAAAGUUAGCGGUUAAUAACCGUUAGCCUUGACGUUAACUUUAGAAGAAGCACCGGCUAACUCCGUGCCAGCAGCCGCGGUAAUACGGAGGGUGCAAGCGUUAAUCGGAAUUACUGGGCGUAAAGCGUGCGUAGGCGGUUUAUUAAGUCAGAUGUGAAAGCCCCGGGCUUAACCUGGGAACUGCAUUUGAAACUGGUCAACUAGAGUAUGGUAGAGGAAAGUGGAAUUUCUGGUGUAGCGGUGAAAUGCGUAGAUAUCAGAAGGAACAUCAAUGGCGAAGGCAGCUUUCUGGACCAAUACUGACGCUGAGGUACGAAAGCGUGGGUAGCAAACAGGAUUAGAUACCCUGGUAGUCCACGCCGUAAACGAUGAUAACUAGCCGUUGGGGGGAUUUACCCUUUAGUGGCGAAGCUAACGCGUUAAGUUAUCCGCCUGGGGAGUACGGCCGCAAGGUUAAAACUCAAAGGAAUUGACGGGGACCCGCACAAGCGGUGGAGCAUGUGGUUUAAUUCGAUGCAACGCGAAGAACCUUACCUGGUCUUGACAUCCUGCGAACUUUCUAGAAAUAGAUUGGUGCCUUCGGGAACGCAGUGACAGGUGCUGCAUGGCUGUCGUCAGCUCGUGUCGUGAGAUGUUGGGUUAAGUCCCGUAACGAGCGCAACCCCUAUCCUUAUUUGCCAGCACAUCAUGGUGGGAACUAUAAGGAGACUGCCGGUGAUAAACCGGAGGAAGGCGGGGACGACGUCAAGUCAUCAUGGCCCUUACGACCAGGGCUACACACGUGCUACAAUGGGAAGGACAAAGAGCCGCGAAGCCGCGAGGUGUAGCUAAUCUCAUAAACCUUUUCGUAGUCCGGAUUGGAGUCUGCAACUCGACUCCAUGAAGUCGGAAUCGCUAGUAAUCGUAGAUCAGAAUGCUACGGUGAAUACGUUCCCGGGUCUUGUACUCACCGCCCGUCA
This 1381-nucleotide ribosomal RNA is filed under the name uncultured bacterium. Its description in RNAcentral is "16S ribosomal RNA". It matches the Rfam family "Bacterial small subunit ribosomal RNA", at positions 27 to 1399 of the family's 1533-position model. The record is from RNAcentral.